RNAcentral lists this transfer RNA (75 nucleotides) under Candidatus Aenigmatarchaeota archaeon. RNAcentral's name for it is "tRNA-Glu". It matches the Rfam family "tRNA". Rfam says of the family: Transfer RNA (tRNA) molecules are approximately 80 nucleotides in length. Their secondary structure includes four short double-helical elements and three loops (D, anti-codon, and T loops). Lineage: Archaea; Nanobdellati; Candidatus Aenigmatarchaeota. The record is from RNAcentral.
GCUCCCGUAGUAUAGCCCGGUCAAGUAUGUCGGGUUUUCGACCCGAAGACAGGGGUUCGAAUCCCCUCGGGAGCG